Molecule: ribosomal RNA, 497 nt
Filed under: uncultured bacterium
Lineage: Bacteria
Description: partial 16S ribosomal RNA
Rfam family: Bacterial small subunit ribosomal RNA
Source: RNAcentral
GAUGAACGCUGGCGGCGUGCCUAAUACAUGCAAGUCGAGCGAACAGACGAGGAGCUUGCUCCUCUGACGUUAGCGGCGGACGGGUGAGUAACACGUGGAUAACCUACCUAUAAGACUGGGAUAACUUCGGGAAACCGGAGCUAAUACCGGAUAAUAUAUUGAACCGCAUUGUUCAAUAGUGAAAGACGGUUUUGCUGUCACUUAUAGAUGGAUCCGCGCCGCAUUAGCUAGUUGGUAAGGUAACGGCUUACCAAGGCAACGAUGCGUAGCCGACCUGAGAGGGUGAUCGGCCACACUGGAACUGAGACACGGUCCAGACUCCUACGGGAGGCAGCAGUAGGGAAUCGUCCGCAAUGGGCGAAAGCUUGACGGAGCAACGCCGCGUGAGUGAUGAAGGUCUUCGGAUCGUAAAACUCUGUUAUUAGGGAAGAACAAAUGUGUAAGUAACUAUGCACGUCUUGACGGUACCUAAUCAGAAAGCCACGGCUAACUACGUG